This 252-nucleotide ribosomal RNA is filed under the name uncultured bacterium. Its description in RNAcentral is "partial 16S ribosomal RNA". It matches the Rfam family "Bacterial small subunit ribosomal RNA", at positions 524 to 775 of the family's 1533-position model. The record is from RNAcentral.
UACGUAGGCAGCAAGCGUUGUUCGGAGUUACUGGGCGUAAAGGGUGUGUAGGCGGUUCUCUAAGUUUGGUGUGAAAUCUCCCGGCUCAACUGGGAGGGUGCGCCGAAUACUGAAGGACUAGAGUACGGGAGAGGAGAGUGGAAUUCCUGGUGUAGCGGUGAAAUGCGUAGAUAUCAGGAGGAACACCGGUGGUGUAGACGGCUCUCUGGACCGUAACUGACGCUGAGACACGAAAGCGUGGGUAGCAAACAG